This 405-nucleotide ribosomal RNA is filed under the name uncultured bacterium. Its description in RNAcentral is "bacterial SSU rRNA". It matches the Rfam family "Bacterial small subunit ribosomal RNA", at positions 354 to 776 of the family's 1533-position model. The record is from RNAcentral.
GUGGGGAAUAUUGCACAAUGGGCGAAAGCCUGAUGCAGCGACGCCGCGUGAGCGAAGAAGUAUUUCGGUAUGUAAAGCUCUAUCAGCAGGGAAGAAAAUGACGGUACCUGACUAAGAAGCACCGGCUAAAUACGUGCCAGCAGCCGCGGUAAUACGUAUGGUGCAAGCGUUAUCCGGAUUUACUGGGUGUAAAGGGAGCGUAGACGGUUGUGUAAGUCUGAUGUGAAAACCCGGGGCUCAACCCCGGGACUGCAUUGGAAACUAUGCAGCUAGAGUGCCGGAGAGGUAAGCGGAAUUCCUAGUGUAGCGGUGAAAUGCGUAGAUAUUAGGAGGAACACCAGUGGCGAAGGCGGCUUACUGGACGGUAACUGACGUUGAGGCUCGAAAGCGUGGGGAGCAAACAGG